GAUGAACGCUGGCGGCGCGCUUAACACAUGCAAGUCGAACGAUGAAGCCCAGCUUGCUGGGUGGAUUAGUGGCGAACGGGUGAGUAACACGUGAGUAACCUGCCCUUAACUCUGGGAUAAGCCUGGGAAACUGGGUCUAAUACCGGAUAGGAGCGUCCACCGCAUGGUGGGUGUUGGAAAAAUUUAUCGGUUUUGGAUGGACUCGCGGCCUAUCAGCUUGUUGGUGAGGUAAUGGCUCACCAAGGCGACGACGGGUAGCCGGCCUGAGAGGGUGACCGGCCACACUGGGACUGAGACACGGCCCAAACUCCUACGGGAGGCAGCAGUGGGGAAUAUUGCACAAUGGGCGCAAGCCUGAUGCAGCGACGCCGCGUGAGGGAUGACGGCCUUCGGGUUGUAAACCUCUUUCAGUAGGGAAGAAGCGAAAGUGACGGUACCUGCAGAAGAAGCACCGGCUAACUACGUG
Molecule: ribosomal RNA, 466 nt
Filed under: uncultured bacterium
Lineage: Bacteria
Description: partial 16S ribosomal RNA
Rfam family: Bacterial small subunit ribosomal RNA
Source: RNAcentral